RNAcentral lists this ribosomal RNA (468 nucleotides) under uncultured bacterium. Its description in RNAcentral is "partial 16S ribosomal RNA". It matches the Rfam family "Bacterial small subunit ribosomal RNA", at positions 28 to 507 of the family's 1533-position model. The record is from RNAcentral.
GACGAACGCUGGCGGCGUGCUUAACACAUGCAAGUCGAACGGAAAGGCCCUGCUUUUGUGGGGUGCUCGAGUGGCGAACGGGUGAGUAACACGUGAGUAACCUGCCCUUGACUUUGGGAUAACUUCAGGAAACUGGGGCUAAUACCGGAUAGGAGCUCCUGCUGCAUGGUGGGGGUUGGAAAGUUUCGGCGGUUGGGGAUGGACUCGCGGCUUAUCAGCUUGUUGGUGGGGUAGUGGCUUACCAAGGCUUUGACGGGUAGCCGGCCUGAGAGGGUGACCGGCCACAUGGGGACUGAGAUACGGCCCAGACUGCUACGGGAGGCAGCAGUGGGGAAUAUUGCACAAUGGGCGGAAGCCUGAUGCAGCAACGCCGCGUGCGGGAUGACGGCCUUCGGGUUGUAAACCGCUUUCGCCUGUGACGAAGCGGGAGUGACGGUAAUGGGUAAAGAAGCACCGGCUAACUACGUG